Long non-coding RNA from Triticum aestivum (bread wheat), 831 nucleotides. RefSeq lists it as uncharacterized. The record is from RefSeq and is a predicted model, not a curated record. NCBI's taxonomy places the organism in Eukaryota, Viridiplantae, Streptophyta, Magnoliopsida, Poales, Poaceae. The transcript is spliced from 2 exons.
CAACGACAGACUCCGAGUCUUGCAGAAGCUGGUGCCCAACGGAACCAAAGUAGUAAAUCGAUUCUCUUUUGUCCACUUUGUGAAGCAAACUGAACUGCGGAUUGUGCUAGUUAUUAGCAGUAUUUUCUGACUGUUGUGAAAUUUCUUCACAGGUGGAUCUCAGCACUAUGCUGGAGGAGGCAGUCCUCUACGUCAAGUUCUUGCAGCUACAGAUCAAGGUGCUGAGUUCUGACGAGAUGUGGAUGUACGCGCCGCUCGCUUACAGCGGCAUGAGCUUCGGAAUCGAUCUGAGGAUCACCCCUCAGUGAUGAGCCUGUUCUUUUAAAAAGAAAAAUCCAUGAUGAACUUGACUCGCUUGAUUUCCAUCUCAACGAGGCGAAAUCUAACCGUUCUGAAAGAGAAUGAACUGUUAAGAACGAUCCAUGCUUACUAAUGUAAUACUGACGAUGUUACAGAAUUUCUGUACCCAAGAGUUUGCAAUCUUCCUUUGCAAGAAGCCAAGAAGAAGCAAUCUUCCGGUCACUCGACGGCAUGUCUUCAGAAUCACAAAUGCAAACCAGGCUUUGAUCUUCACAGGUCCUGCACUUUGUACAUCAGCAGAACCUGUGCCGGGAACGGAAGUUUUUUUCAGUAGAGCACAUGGCAUGUUUUUGUAGGAGCUGCAGAAGACACGCAUUAUGUGACUGAUAUAAUGUCAGAGUAGACUUCGUAUUUUCUCCGGCUGAUUAUUGUUGGUGGAAGCAGAGGAAUAAUACUACUGGUGACACAAAAUGUAAAUUCCGCAAUAUCUCAUAAUGAUGUAUCAAAGAUUAACGACCCGUCGGUGAUUCU